GCCCUAAACCUCAGUAGUUAGAUAACAAAACUACUCGCCAGAAUACUACAAGCUAUAGCUUAAAACUCAAAGGACUUGACGGUGCUUUACACCCCCUAGAGGAGCCUGUUCCGUAAUCGAUAAACCCCGAUCCACCCCACCCUCUCUUGCUCAGCCUAUAUACCGCCAUCUUCAGCAAACCCUAAUGAGGGUCACAAAGUGAGCGCAAAUGCCAUUGCCGCAAACACGUUAGGUCAAGGUGUAGCCUAUGAGACGGUAAAAAAUGGGCUACAUUUUCUACCUCAGAAAAUUCCACGAAAACCCUUAUGAAAUUUAAGGGUCCAAGGAGGAUUUAGCAGUAAAUUAAGAAUAGAGUGCUUAAUUGAACCAGGCCAUAAAGCGCGCACACACCGCCCGUCACUCCUCUCAAAUAUAUUUAAGGAACAUCUUAACUAAACGCCCUAAUAUUUAUAUAGAGAGGAUAAGUCGUAACAUGGUAAGCGUACUGGAAGGUGCGCUUGGAUAAAU
This 507-nucleotide ribosomal RNA is filed under the name Macaca mulatta (Rhesus monkey). RNAcentral's name for it is "partial 12S ribosomal RNA". It matches the Rfam family "Bacterial small subunit ribosomal RNA", at positions 799 to 1533 of the family's 1533-position model. Lineage: Eukaryota; Metazoa; Chordata; Mammalia; Primates; Cercopithecidae. The record is from RNAcentral.